Molecule: ribosomal RNA, 165 nt
Filed under: uncultured bacterium
Lineage: Bacteria
Description: partial 16S ribosomal RNA
Rfam family: Bacterial small subunit ribosomal RNA
Source: RNAcentral
UAGUAAUCGCGAAUCAGAAUGUCGCGGUGAAUACGUUCCCGGGCCUUGUACACACCGCCCGUCACACCACGAGAGUCGAUAACACCCGAAGCCUGUGAGCUAACCUUUAGGAGGCAGCAGUCGAAGGUGGGGUUGAUGAUUGGGGUGAAGUCGUAACAAGGUACC